This 484-nucleotide ribosomal RNA is filed under the name uncultured bacterium. Its description in RNAcentral is "partial 16S ribosomal RNA". It matches the Rfam family "Bacterial small subunit ribosomal RNA", at positions 30 to 507 of the family's 1533-position model. The record is from RNAcentral.
AUUGAACGCUGGCGGAAUGCUUUACACAUGCAAGUCGAACGGCAGCACGGGGGCAACCCUGGUGGCGAGUGGCGAACGGGUGAGUAAUACAUCGGAACGUGCCCGGUCGUGGGGGAUAACGUAGCGAAAGUUACGCUAAUACCGCAUACGAUCUGAGGAUGAAAGCGGGGGACCUUCGGGCCUCGCGCGAUCGGAGCGGCCGAUGUCAGAUUAGGUAGUUGGUGGGGUAAAGGCCUACCAAGCCGACGAUCUGUAGCUGGUCUGAGAGGACGACCAGCCACACUGGGACUGAGACACGGCCCAGACUCCUACGGGAGGCGGCAGUGGGGAAUUUUGGACAAUGGGCGCAAGCCUGAUCCAGCCAUUCCGCGUGCAGGACGAAGGCCUUCGGGUUGUAAACUGCUUUUGUAUGGAACGAAAAGGCUCUGGCUAAUACCUGGGGCUCAUGACGGUACCGUAAGAAUAAGCACCGGCUAACUACGUG